This 124-nucleotide unclassified non-coding RNA is filed under the name uncultured fungus. RNAcentral describes it as "sequence contains ITS1". The record is from RNAcentral. Lineage: Eukaryota; Fungi.
CUGUGUUUGGUUUUACCAUCCACCCUUGUCAUUUGCACUGUCGUUUCGGCGGUGGUCCCUAGUUCUAGGGCCCCGCCGGCAGUAACUCUUUAGUAUCUGAAGUCUGAAUCCAAAAAAUCAUACA